RNAcentral lists this ribosomal RNA (468 nucleotides) under uncultured bacterium. RNAcentral describes it as "partial 16S ribosomal RNA". It matches the Rfam family "Bacterial small subunit ribosomal RNA", at positions 28 to 507 of the family's 1533-position model. The record is from RNAcentral.
GACGAACGCUGGCGGCGUGCUUAACACAUGCAAGUCGAACGGAAAGGCCCUGCUUUUGUGGGGUGCUCGAGUGGCGAACGGGUGAGUAACACGUGAGUAACCUGCCCUUGACUUUGGGAUAACUUCAGGAAACUGGGGCUAAUACCGGAUAGGAGCUCCUGCUGCAUGGGGGGGGUUGGAAAGUUUCGGCGGUUGGGGAUGGACUCGCGGCUUAUCAGCUUGUUGGUGGGGUAGUGGCUUACCAAGGCUUUGACGGGUAGCCGGCCUGAGAGGGUGACCGGCCACAUUGGGACUGAGAUACGGCCCAGACUCCUACGGGAGGCAGCAGUGGGGAAUAUUGCACAAUGGCCGGAAGCCUGAUGCAGCAACGCCGCGUGCGGGAUGACGGCCUUCGGGUUGUAAACCGCUUUCGCCUGUGACGAAGCGUGAGUGACGGUAAUGGGUAAAGAAGCACCGGCUAACUACGUG